RNAcentral lists this ribosomal RNA (1089 nucleotides) under Lulworthia cf. purpurea. RNAcentral describes it as "SSU rRNA". It matches the Rfam family "Eukaryotic small subunit ribosomal RNA", at positions 62 to 1164 of the family's 1831-position model. Lineage: Eukaryota; Fungi; Ascomycota; Sordariomycetes; Lulworthiales; Lulworthiaceae. The record is from RNAcentral.
AGUAUAAGCAAUUAUACCGCGAAACUGCGAAUGGCUCAUUAAAUCAGUUAUCGUUUAUUUGAUAGUUCCCUACUACUUGGAUAACCGUGGUAAUUCUAGAGCUAAUACAUGCAAAAAACCGCGACUUCGGAAGCGGUGUAUUUAUUAGAUUAAAGACCAAUGCCCUUCGGGGCUGACUGGUGAUUCAUGAUAACUUCUCGAAUCGCACGGCCUUGCGCCGGCGAUGGUUCAUUCAAAUUUCUGCCCUAUCAACUUUCGACUUUAGCGUAGUGGGCUAAAGUGGUUACAACGGGUAACGGAGGGUUAGGGCUCGACCCCGGAGAAGGAGCCUGAGAGACGGCUACUACAUCCAAGGAAGGCAGCAGGCGCGCAAAUUACCCAAUCCCGACACGGGGAGGUAGUGACAAUAAAUACUGAUACAGGGCUCUUUUGGGUCUUGUAAUUGGAAUGAGUACAAUUUAAAUCCCUUAACGAGGAACAAUUGGAGGGCAAGUCUGGUGCCAGCAGCCGCGGUAAUUCCAGCUCCAAUAGCGUAUAUUAAAGUUGUUGUGGUUAAAAAGCUCGUAGUUGAACCUGGGCCUCGCGCAGACCGGUCCGCCUCACCGCGUGCACUGGUCCUGCCGGGGCUUUCACUAGGGGAUUCGCAUGCCCUUCACUGGGCGUGCGCGGAACCUGGACCUUUACUGUGAAAAAAUUAGAGUGUUCAAAGCAGGCCUAUGCUCGAAUACAUUAGCAUGGAAUAAUAGAAUAGGACGUGUGGUUCUAUUUUGUUGGUUAUGGGACCGCCGUAAUGAUUAAUAGGGACAGUCGGGGGCAUCAGUAUUCAAUUGUCAGAGGUGAAAUUCUUGGAUUUAUUGAAGACUAACUACUGCGAAAGCAUUUGCCAAGGAUGUUUUCAUUAAUCAGGAACGAAAGUUAGGGGAUCGAAGACGAUCAGAUACCGUCGUAGUCUUAACCAUAAACUAUGCCGACUAGGGAUCGGGCGAUGUUACUUUUUGACUCGCUCGGCACCUUACGAGAAAUCAAAGUUUGUGGGUUCCUGGGGGAGUAUGGUGGCAACGCUGAAACUUAAAGAAAUUGACGGAAGGG